GACGAACGCUGGCGGCGUGCUUAACACAUGCAAGUCGAACGGAAAGGCCCUGCUUUUGUGGGGUGCUCGAGUGGCGAACGGGUGAGUAACACGUGAGUAACCUGCCCUUGACUUUGGGAUAACUUCAGGAAACUGGGGCUAAUACCGGAUAUGAGCUCCUGCUGCAUGGUGGGGGUUGGAAAGUUUCGGCGGUUGGGGAUGGACUCGCGGCUCAUCAGCUUGUUGGUGGGGUAGUGGCUUACCAAGGCUUUGACGGGUAGCCGGCCUGAGAGGGUGACCGGCCACAUUGGGACUGAGAUACGGCCCAGACUCCUACGGGAGGCAGCAGUGGGGAAUAUUGCACAAUGGGCGGAAGCCUGAUGCAGCAACGCCGCGUGCGGGAUGACGGCCUUCGGGUUGUAAACCGCUUUCGCCUGUGACGAAGCGUGAGUGACGGUAAUGUGUAAAGAAGCACCGGCUAACUACGUG
RNAcentral lists this ribosomal RNA (468 nucleotides) under uncultured bacterium. Its description in RNAcentral is "partial 16S ribosomal RNA". It matches the Rfam family "Bacterial small subunit ribosomal RNA", at positions 28 to 507 of the family's 1533-position model. The record is from RNAcentral.